AGCAGCCGCGGUAAUUCCAGCUCCAAUAGCGUAUAUUAAAGUUGUUGCAGUUAAAAAGCUCGUAGUUGAAUUUCGGGGUCAGUAGGUUGGUCGUGCCACCGGUACGUACUGGUCUCACUGAUUCCUCCUUCCUGAUGAGCUGUAAUGCCAUUAAUUUGGUGUUGCAGGGAAUCUGGACUGUUACUUUGAAAAAAUUAGAGUGUUUAAAGCAGGCUUACGCUUGAAUACAUUAGCAUGGAAUAAUGAAAUAGGACGUUCGAUCCUAUUUGUUGGUUUCUAGGAUUGACGUAAUGAUUAAUAGGGAUAGUUGGGGCAUUAGUAUUCAAUUGUCAGAGGUGAAAUUCUUGGAUUUAUGAAGACUAACUACUGCGAAAGCAUUUGCC
RNAcentral lists this ribosomal RNA (383 nucleotides) under uncultured Glomus. Its description in RNAcentral is "SSU rRNA". It matches the Rfam family "Eukaryotic small subunit ribosomal RNA", at positions 569 to 959 of the family's 1831-position model. Lineage: Eukaryota; Fungi; Glomeromycota; Glomeromycetes; Glomerales; Glomeraceae. The record is from RNAcentral.